AACGCACCUUGCGCUCCUUGGUAUUCCGAGGAGCAUGCCUGUUUGAGUGUCAUUAAAUUCUCAACCCCUUUUCAGCUUUUUACCAAGCUGGAAUAGGUGUCUUGGAUUGUGGGGGUCUUGCCGGCAGCUUUUGCAGUCAGCUCCCCUGAAAUGCAUUAGCAGAACCGUUUGCGAUCCUGUCACUGGUGUGAUAAUUAUCUACGCCAAUGGAUUGCUCAAUUGUUUGUUCAGCUUCUAACUGUCCUCUCGGUGGGACAAUCACUUGAAAGCUUGACCUCAAAUCAGGUAGGACUACCCGCUGAACUUAA
Molecule: unclassified non-coding RNA, 308 nt
Filed under: uncultured Agaricales
Lineage: Eukaryota; Fungi; Basidiomycota; Agaricomycetes; Agaricales
Description: sequence contains 5.8S rRNA gene, ITS2, 28S rRNA gene
Rfam family: 5.8S ribosomal RNA (bases 1-52)
Source: RNAcentral